AGUGAACGCUGGCGGUAGGCCUAACACAUGCAAGUCGAACGGCAGCACAGUAAGAGCUUGCUCUUACGGGUGGCGAGUGGCGGACGGGUGAGGAAUACAUCGGAAUCUACUUUUUCGUGGGGGAUAACGUAGGGAAACUUACGCUAAUACCGCAUACGACCUACGGGUGAAAGCAGGGGAUCUUCGGACCUUGCGCGAUUGAAUGAGCCGAUGUCGGAUUAGCUAGUUGGCGGGGUAAAGGCCCACCAAGGCGACGAUCCGUAGCUGGUCUGAGAGGAUGAUCAGCCACACGGGAACGUAGACACGGUCCAGACGCCUAAGGGAGGCAGCAGUGGGGAAUAUUGGACAAUGGGCGCAAGCCUGAUCCAGCCAUACCGAGUGGGUGAAGAAGGCCUUCGGGUUGUAAAGCCCUUUUGUUGGGAAAGAAAAGCAGCAGGUUAAUACCCCGCUGUUCUGACGGUACCCAAAGAAUAAGCACCGGCUAACUUCGUG
This 492-nucleotide ribosomal RNA is filed under the name uncultured bacterium. Its description in RNAcentral is "partial 16S ribosomal RNA". It matches the Rfam family "Bacterial small subunit ribosomal RNA", at positions 29 to 507 of the family's 1533-position model. The record is from RNAcentral.